CUCUCUCUCACACCACAAUAAAAACCUUAUUCUCUGCGUUCUGCUUCUCUUCCUCUUCCUCUCACCAAAUCUCGCGCAAAUCAUCGUCGGCGUUUCACCAGUUCAUCGUAGCCGGCGACUCCUUUUCCCCUCCUUUCUGUCUCCUCUUCUCGCCAGGUCUUCCACGAAGCUCGCAGAUAUUACCGCAAAACACAUGGGCGUAUUCUCGUGGCAAAAUUGACUGAACUGAAGAAGUUGAUUUGUGUAGAAGGGAACAAGAAAUUAGAGCUGCUGAGGGAAUGAUCUUUGGAAAAAGAAAUUAUGGGAGAUGAAGAUGAGUUCUAGAAAUUAGUUAUUGUUGUGUUUUUCUUU
Long non-coding RNA from Nicotiana attenuata, 351 nucleotides. RefSeq lists it as uncharacterized. The record is from RefSeq and is a predicted model, not a curated record. Lineage: Eukaryota; Viridiplantae; Streptophyta; Magnoliopsida; Solanales; Solanaceae. The transcript has 3 exons.